Molecule: non-coding RNA, 595 nt
Organism: Urocitellus parryii (Arctic ground squirrel)
Lineage: Eukaryota; Metazoa; Chordata; Mammalia; Rodentia; Sciuridae
Source: RefSeq, a predicted model, not a curated record
CUGUUGCAACCUCUGGGAUGAGCUGAGAGACUAACGGUGAAGUACUGAAACGGAGGGCUGGGGACUGAAUCCAGUCUCGCACAUGCUUGGGAAGUGCUCCACCGCUGUUAUAUCCCCAGCCCCAAUUCUUCUCGUGUGCAUCUGUAUUUUUUCCUUCCUUUCCUCAUUUUUCAUUUUGGUGUGUGUCUUCAUGUUGCUGCCUUGUAAGAGUUGUUUUUGUUUGUUUUCAAGAAAAGGGAUUGAAUCCAGAAGUCUGCUACUGCCAGCUCAUUUCCCUUCUCUGGGAAGUGUCCCUGCUGUCCUGCAAGGUUACCCACCCCUGACAAAGAUCCUGGCGGGAUUCUUUGGGAAGCUGCUGGGACAGGAGUUGGACCAACUUGAGAACGUGCUGGUGACCGUGGGUGCCUACGGGGCCCUGUUCACAGCCUUCCAGGCCCUGGUGGACGAAGGAGACGAGGUCAUCAUCAUUGAACCUUUUUUUGACUGUUAUGAGCCCAUGACAUUGAUGGCUGGGGGUCGCCCUGUGUUUGUGUCCCUGAAGCCGGUAAGGAUGCCAUGUGGGGUGUGGGCCCAGGAACCCACGGACUGGGUGGGA